RNAcentral lists this long non-coding RNA (957 nucleotides) under Brassica napus (rape). Its description in RNAcentral is "long non-coding RNA (BNAP_LNC018031)". The record is from RNAcentral. Lineage: Eukaryota; Viridiplantae; Streptophyta; Magnoliopsida; Brassicales; Brassicaceae.
GUAAGCUUGGUAAGGUCUCUUACCACUAUGAAGCCCUUUGCCAUCUUGGAUAUUUAGACAAAGUAUCAAAAACACUACAAUACUAUCUGAACUUAAGUUAUUUCUUUGACAAAUAUCACUCUUUCUUUGAUAAAGGUGAAAAUGGCAUUUUAAGAAGAACUAAUAAUAAUAAGCUGAUAGCUAUUACUCUUUUUCCUGGAAAAGGCCCAAAGUCUUUCUACAAACAGAAUUAUUAAAAUAAACUUACCAAUUUUUGCAAACCCAUAACACAAAAACAGCAACCUCCCCAAUUAUGGACGGGAAGUUUUAAAAGGCCAACAACUUCAACACCAUUAAAAGUCCACGUAACUUAUCAAAUAUGUCACCUCAACGCUUCUUCUCCAAACUAAACUGCUCUCACAAAUCAAAUUGACCAACAUUGUAUUCAAUAAACCAGAGAAAACAAAUAACUCAUCGCAUUUAAUUAUUCUUUUAGUUCAUUUCCUGGCAUCAACUCCUCCCGCUAAAUACUAUUAUCAUAUGCAUUAUUUUGAAAUGAAAAUAUAACAUACAACAAUUAGAGCUUUGGGAAUUCUUAGAAUUCUCAACACAAUUAUACAAAUCUUACAUGAUCUUUUAACCGCAAGGCUGCCUCAUACUUAAAACUAAUCGUAACUUCCUUCAUUUUAUUAUUGAACACACUCAUAAAAACAUAACUAAAAUAUCUAACAAUGUGAAGUUCACAAUUUAUUUGUAGUAUCCUAUAAAAUAAAACAUUAAAAUUAAUAGGAAUUUAAACAAUGGGCUAACUAAUAAUGAUUUCACAGUUCUGUUGGAAUGGAAAUAACACAAAAUCUGAAACCAUAUACCUACAACCCAACACAAUUAGUUCGAAGACCCAAAGAAAAUUAGUAAACAUCCGCAAACAUCAUACCACGCGUUACGCUCAAUGUCAACUCGACUUUCACAUUCCACCAA